UGUGGAAUAACUUGAGUGGUCCUUAACCCC
Molecule: non-coding RNA, 30 nt
Filed under: Homo sapiens (human)
Lineage: Eukaryota; Metazoa; Chordata; Mammalia; Primates; Hominidae
Source: RNAcentral